This 303-nucleotide ribosomal RNA is filed under the name uncultured bacterium. RNAcentral describes it as "partial 16S ribosomal RNA". It matches the Rfam family "Bacterial small subunit ribosomal RNA", at positions 507 to 807 of the family's 1533-position model. The record is from RNAcentral.
AGCAGUAGCCACGGUAAUACGAAGGGGGCUAGCGUUGUUCGGACUUACUGGGCGUAAAGGGCGCGUAGGUGGUUAUUUAAGUGAGAUGUGAAAGCCCCGGGCUUAACCUGGGAACUGCAUCUUAUACUGGGUAACUGGAGUGCAGUAGAGGGUAGUGGAAUUUCCGGUGUAGCGGUGAAAUGCGUAGAUAUCGGAAGGAACACCAGUGGCGAAGGCGACUAUCUGGGCCAACACUGACACUGAGGCACGAAAGCGUGGGGAGCAAACAGGAUUAGAUACCCCCGUAGUCCCUGUCUCUUAUAC